Molecule: non-coding RNA, 180 nt
Filed under: chicken gut metagenome
Source: RNAcentral
AGGUGCCUGUCCCCAGGGGCAGGAUAAUAGGGAACAGGGUGGAAAUCCCUGACGGUCCCGCCGCUGUAAGAGAAGAGCCUUAUGGAAAGCCCGUGGAGGGCAAAACGUCACUGGCAGCAAAAUGCCGGGAAGGCAAAGCCUAAGGCUGUGACGCUCAAGUCAGAAGACCUGCCUUUUUCC